Molecule: ribosomal RNA, 253 nt
Filed under: uncultured bacterium
Lineage: Bacteria
Description: partial 16S ribosomal RNA
Rfam family: Bacterial small subunit ribosomal RNA
Source: RNAcentral
UACGGGGGGGGUAAGCGUUGUUCGGAAUUACUGGGCGUAAAGGGCUCGUAGGCGGCCAACUAAGUCGGACGUGAAAUCCCUCAGCUUAACUGGGGAACUGCGUCCGAUACUGGAUGGCUUGGAUUUGGGAGAGGGAUGCGGAAUUCCAGGUGUAGCGGUGAAAUGCGUAGAUAUCCGAAGGAACAUCAGUGGCGAAAGCGACUUCCUGGACCAGAACUGACGAUCAGGCACGAAAGCGUGGGGAGCAAACAGG